GAAGAGAACAAAAACAAUUAAAUAUUGAAAACAUUCAUUUUGGACUAGAGUACAUGAAUAUUAUGAGAAAAAUAAAAAAUCCACAUCUUGUGAACGUAGUUCCAGCUCUCUCACAAAUAGAUGGUCAACUAUCCAACAUACUACAAAUAAGUUUUGUGGGGCCUUAGCUUAAAUCAAAUGAAGGUCUCCAAGUGGGACUACUGAGCAAGAUAAGAUUGAGCAAGCAAAGGAGCUCUAUCGAAGUAACCAGUCUGCAACAUUCAACUUCUUUCAUUGUUAGACUAUUCUAAGGCACCAUCCAAAAUGGAAAUAGACUGUGGCUAAGGGCAGUGUGUAAACUAAGAGAAGAUCAGUAACUCUAGAUGCUCAUGUGCUAGAGUUUACAAUUCUAGAUGAAAACGUCAUAUCUCCAUCUAUAAAUAGAAAUAGAAGAGAGCAAAUGCUGAGAAGGAAGAAAAUAGGAAAGAGAUUGUCCGCCUUACAAAAGAGAGGCUUGAUUUGGAUUAACAAAGAGAAGAUAAUGAAAUUAUAAGGAUGGACACAUCAAGUCUGCCUCCAAUGCAGCAAGAGUGUGUUUGUAGCCUUCAAUUGGAAAUACUUGAGAAGCAAAGGUCUACAAAACCAUAAUUGGGUUUGAUAUGGGUUGCAAAUGAAUAUUUUUUGAAAGGUAAUAAUGCAGCCACUUUUGGGAAUGUUCUUUUAAUAGUUUUUUUGUCUAGAACACAAUACAAACCUGAAGCUUAUGUCCAGCCACAUUUGGGAAUGCAGGUUUGAUAGUUUUUUGUAUGGAAUACUCUACAAAACCUGAAGUCACAACAUAGCUAGUGGAUAGUUUUUAUUUUUUAUUUUUUAUUUUUUAUUUUUUUUGUGUAUAGAACACAGUACAAGUCAUACACUAAACUGUCUUAAUAGUUUAAUGUGUUCUUUGUUGGGGAAGUUAUGAUGGUGGCACACUAAAGUGAUGUUGUGAAUGAUUUAACUUUAAUAGCUUGGCUGAAUGAGCAUGAACUGACCAAAACUAUGGCAUUGUUAACUUUAAUUAUGUGAAUGAAUGAGCCCAGAACUAUGGCAUUACUAUUUUCA
Molecule: long non-coding RNA, 1083 nt
Organism: Carya illinoinensis
Lineage: Eukaryota; Viridiplantae; Streptophyta; Magnoliopsida; Fagales; Juglandaceae
Exons: 2
Source: RefSeq, a predicted model, not a curated record